GUUCCUAUAGUUAAGAUUAACGGUGGCUUUUCAUGCCAUAGACCUUGGAGAAAGGCCAAGUAGGAAUU
RNAcentral lists this transfer RNA (68 nucleotides) under Todiramphus sanctus vagans (New Zealand sacred kingfisher). RNAcentral's name for it is "tRNA-Glu". Lineage: Eukaryota; Metazoa; Chordata; Aves; Coraciiformes; Alcedinidae. The record is from RNAcentral.